Molecule: long non-coding RNA, 282 nt
Organism: Cynoglossus semilaevis (tongue sole)
Lineage: Eukaryota; Metazoa; Chordata; Actinopteri; Pleuronectiformes; Cynoglossidae
Exons: 3
Source: RefSeq, a predicted model, not a curated record
UACAGGAAAAGUACAAAGAUCGACUGAACACAGACGACUCCCAGGAUUUUCCUCACAUCCAAGGAGCUCAGACACAAAGACAAAUGUGUAGAACUGUGAACCCUGGCCCAGUUUAACUGAACCCAACAUAUUCAGGUCUGACAUGUGGGAAAAGGCCAAUUGUCUGACACACAAAAAGAUCUCAUACUCACACUCACAGCUGAUAACAAGACCAGGUCCUCACCUCUUUGGGCCAGAAGGCACGUCCCUGCUGUGUGUCCUCUAGAUAAUCCCGGAUGAUAU